This 383-nucleotide ribosomal RNA is filed under the name uncultured bacterium. RNAcentral's name for it is "bacterial SSU rRNA". It matches the Rfam family "Bacterial small subunit ribosomal RNA", at positions 28 to 424 of the family's 1533-position model. The record is from RNAcentral.
GAUGAACGCUGGCGGCGUGCAUAACACAUUCAAGUCGAACGAGGUAGCAAUACCUAGUGGCGGACGGGUGAGUAACGCGUGAGCAACCUGCCCUUGUGUGGGGGAUACCGUCUGGAAACGGACGUUAAUACCGCAUAACAUAGCGGAAUCGCAUGGUUCUGCUAUCAAAGAUUUAUUGCGCAAGGAUGGGCUCGCGUUGGAUUAGAUAGUUGGUGAGGUAACGGCCCACCAAGUCUGCGAUCCAUAGCCGGACUGAGAGGUUGAACGGCCACAUUGGAACUGAGAUACGGUCCAGACUCCUACGGGAGGCAGCAGUGGGGAAUAUUGGGCAAUGGGGGAAACCCUGACCCAGCAACGCCGCGUGAAGGAAGAAGGCCUCGGUU